Oncorhynchus keta (chum salmon) is the source of this 852-nucleotide long non-coding RNA. RefSeq lists it as uncharacterized. The record is from RefSeq and is a predicted model, not a curated record. The transcript has 5 exons. NCBI's taxonomy places the organism in Eukaryota, Metazoa, Chordata, Actinopteri, Salmoniformes, Salmonidae.
GUAGCCUAGCCCAUAGGCCUAUAUGUUUUAAUAAGGUUAGUAUCACACCUCAUGUAGUCCAGCCCAUAGGCCUAUAUGUUUUAAUAAGGUUAGUAUCACACCUCAUGUAGUCCAGCCCAUAGGCCUAUAUGUUUUAAUAAGGUUAGUAUCACACCUCAUGUAGUCCAGCCCAUAGGCCUAUAUGUUUUAAUAAGGUUAGUAUCACACCUCAUGUAGUCCAGCCCAUAGGCCUAUAUGUUUUAAUAAGGUUAGUAUCACACCUCAUGUAGUCCAGCCCAUAGGCCUAUAUGUUUUAAUAAGGUUAGUAUCACACCUCAUGUAGUCCAGCCCAUAGGCCUAUAUGUUUUAAUAAGGUUAGUAUCACACCUCAUGUAGUCCAGCCCAUAGGCCUAUAUGUUUUAAUAAGGUUAGUAUCACACCUCAUGUAGUCCAGCCCAUAGGCCUAUAUGUUUUAAUAAGGUUAGUAUCACACCUCAUGUAGUCCAGCCCAUAGGCCUAUAUGUUUUAAUAAGGUUAGUAUCACACCUCAUGUAGUCCAGCCCAUAGGCCUAUAUGUUUUAAUAAGGUUAGUAUCACACCUCAUGUAGCCUAGCCCAUAGGCCUAUAUGUUUUAAUAAGGUUAGUAUCACACCUCAUGUAGUCCAGCCCAUAGGCCUAUAUGUUUUAAUAAGGUUAGUAUCACACCUCAUGUAGUCCAGCCCAUAGGCCUAUAUGUUUUAAUAAGGUUAGUAUCACACCUCAUGUAGUCCAGCCCAUAGGCCUAUAUGUUUUAAUAAGGUUAGUAUCACACCUCAUGUAGCCUAGCCCAUAGGCCUAUAUGUUUUAAUAAGGUUAGUAUCACACCUCAUGUAG